RNAcentral lists this ribosomal RNA (301 nucleotides) under uncultured bacterium. Its description in RNAcentral is "partial 16S ribosomal RNA". It matches the Rfam family "Bacterial small subunit ribosomal RNA", at positions 509 to 807 of the family's 1533-position model. The record is from RNAcentral.
CAGCCGCCGCGGUAAUCCGAAGGGGGCUAGCGUUGCUCGGAAUUACUGGGCGUAAAGGGAGCGUAGGCGGAUCGUUUAGUUGGGGGUGAAAGCCCGGGGCUCAACCUCGGAACUGCCUUCAAUACUGGCGAUCUUGAGUAUGAGAGAGGUGUGUGGAACUCCGAGUGUAGAGGUGAAAUUCGUAGAUAUUCGGAAGAACACCAGUGGCGAAGGCGACACACUGGCUCAUUACUGACGCUGAGGCUCGAAAGCGUGGGGAGCAAACAGGAUUAGAUACCCCAGUAGUCCCUGUCUCUUAUAC